This 1131-nucleotide long non-coding RNA is filed under the name Nothobranchius furzeri (turquoise killifish). Its description in RNAcentral is "lncRNA (ENSNFUG00015000560.1)". Lineage: Eukaryota; Metazoa; Chordata; Actinopteri; Cyprinodontiformes; Nothobranchiidae. The record is from RNAcentral.
AUGAAUGUCAUACCACAGCAGACAAUGUUUCUAUGUUUUGUGUAUUUUUCUAAACUUUUAUUAAUUUUUUUUAGGAUAACCGACUUUUUUUGCAAUGAUAUUAUUUUCUUUGUUUCAGGGGUUCAGCCUCAGAGUGUAUCCUAUGGACGAGUGCUGCCAGUUCAAAAUGUUGGUGUUGGAGUAAAACCUGGAGUUACGGGAGCCCUUGGAGCGCUGGGCAGCCGCUACAACACAAAAGCUAUGAAGACUGGAAUUGGACGUUAUCCUGCCGCUCAACUCGGUGUUGGAGGUUAUAGAUCUCUCGGUUUGGGAGCCAGAGGCCUGAAGCAAGGUGGAUAUGGAGCCCAGGGAGUUUAUGGUGCCAGUUUGGGAACAGGAAUGGGUCUGGGCCCAGGACUUACUAAUGGACUGGGAUUUGGUUUGGGCCAAGGCGGAAAACGUGCUUACGGUGCUGGUCUUGGAACUCUUCCAGGAUAUGAAGCUUUUGGAGGCGCUGGGUAUCCAGGAGCUCGACCAGGCUAUCUUGGUGGAGCAGGAAACUACCAGGGCGCAAGCCUGGGAGCUGUAGGCUAUGGAGCAGGUCUGGGACAGGGGGCGUACCUGGGUGGCGCAGCUGGAAAGCUUAGUGCAGCUGCUGCGCUUGGACAAGGUGGGUAUCCCCAAGGUGUUCCAGGCAAGACAAACGGUUAUGGUGAUGGCGUAACGGGAUACCUCGGCGCUGUGGCAGGUAACGGCUUUGGUUAUGGGAAUGGAUACAGCGAUGGUUACGGAGCUGCCCUGAGCACAGGAGGCUACACAGGACAGCCCCAGGGGCCGUACGGAGCACUUGCUACAGGACUGGACUCAACUGCUGGCAAAUAUGGAGCAGGAGCUGCACAGGUUCCUUAUGGGAAUGCUCCUGUAAUUCCUGCAGGACUGGAAGGUAACGGAGGCUACCCGUACGCCGCUCAGCAGCUCGGCCUCACUGCUGAAGGUGCCAAAGCCGCCAGCAAAUAUGGAGCUUCUUCAGGUUAUGCAAAUCACCCAACAGGUUACGGUGCACAGCUUGGAGCUACCCAAGAUGCCUUGGGAGAGCAGGCUGGGAAGUACGAUGGAGUGAACGCUGCCCUAGGUAACGGGUACAAAGGCUAA